This is an RNA transcript of Lucilia sericata (common green bottle fly), 2169 nucleotides long. RefSeq lists it as uncharacterized. The record is from RefSeq and is a predicted model, not a curated record. The transcript is spliced from 7 exons. NCBI's taxonomy places the organism in Eukaryota, Metazoa, Arthropoda, Insecta, Diptera, Calliphoridae.
UGUGACCGCUCUCAUUGAAACACAUAUUUAGUUGUUUCGGAUGUUUAAAAUCUGAAAUUUACCAAAUCAUAUUCCCGCUUUUUUGUUUUGUUCGUGUCAUUGAGUUUAAUAAAACACUUUGCUUAACAUAGCCUCUCAUCGCUUUACGUUUUAUAAAAUAAAUUAAUAUAUUUAUUAAAAAAAAAAAAUAAAAAAAUGGAUAGAAUAUGUGAACAAAUUAUUGAAGAAGUUGAAAAAUAUGAAAUUUUAUAUAAUAAUCAAUCUGGAGAUUCCAAAACAAUUAAGAUCAGACGCAAAAAUUGGAAAAAAGUUGCAAAAAAAAUUAACAUGAGAGUUGAUUUUGUAAAAAAAAGAUGGCGAAGUUUGAGAAGUUCCUAUAGAAGAUAUAAAAAGCUAAAAGACAUGACAUCUGGGAGUCGAAAAACAAAACUAGUGCCAUAUAAAUUCGCCGAAAGCUUAUCAUUUUUGGACCAGUUUCUAAAUACACAAACAUCCAAGAAGAAAGAUUCAACUCCUCAGAACGUAAAUAACUCUGGCCAUGAUUUCCAACAACAAACACACGCACGAUUCCGGAAAUUGAUCUUACAAAUGAUUCAUCUGCUUCAUCUUUUUUCAAUAGCAACAUAUAUAACAGUGACCAUGAUUCCAGCAACAACAACAACACACCCAUGCCUACGGAAAUUGAUCUUAUAAGUGAUUCAUCUGCUUCAUCUUCUUUCAAUAGCAACAUAAAUAACAGUGACCAUGAUUCCAGCAACAACAACAACACACCCAUGCAUAUCGAAAAAAGGACUAGAAAGGAUUCAUCCGUUCCUCUCGCAAGCAACUUAAAAACAGAUCGUAGUGAAUACUUAACACGGGCAUUUAUCAAAAUUUUGAAGGAAGAAACUGCCAUUUGGAAAACUGAUACUGAGCAAUACAAAGAUCCAAAUGAAAGAAAAAAGUCGUGGAAAAGUCUUUUGGCAAAAUAUAGAAAGAUCGAUAAAAAUACGAGAAUGGAAAGGGUUCAAAAGAAAUAUAACGUAAUUCUAAAUGCUUAUAAAAGCGAACUAGAAAAAGUCCAUACAAAUGAGAAUCUGGUACCAACAUUGUCGUACUUUGAACAUAUAAAUUUUUUGCGUAAUUAUUUGAAUGACCUACUUAAAAAAGAAAGUCAAGAUAUAUUGAGAUUGAGCCGAAAUUUGAGCUCAAUUAAUAGACGUUAACACGUGCCGCUAGUCACUCAAAGUUUGAAAAAUCCUACAUAUGAAGCUAUAACUCCAGAACAGUAGACUAGUAUCUCAAAACAAAGCUAAUAUUCUAUCUGGCAAGGGGAAUCAUAAUGUGGGAUUAAGACGAACAAUAUUCCGACAUUUUUUUCUCUACAUAUAAUAUCCGUUAAAAACAGAUCGUAGUGAAUACUUAACACGGGCAUUUAUCGAAAUUUUGAAGGAAGAAACUGCCAUUUGGAAAACUGAUACUGAGCAAUACAAAGAUCCAAAUGAAAGAAAAAAGUCGUGGGAAAGUCUUUUGGCAAAAUAUAGAAAGAUCGAUAAAAAUACGAGAAUGGAAAGGGUUCAAAAGAAAUAUAACGUAAUUCUAAAUGCUUAUAAAAGCGAACUAGAAAAAGUCCAUACAAAUGAGAAUCUGGUACCAACAUUGUCGUACUUUGAACAUAUAAAUUUUUUGCGUAAUUAUUUGAAUGACCUACUUAAAAAAGAAAGUCAAGAUAUAUUGAGAUUGAGCCGAAAUUUGAGCUCGAUUAACAGACGUUAACACGUGCCGCUAGUCACUCAAAGUUUGAAAAAUCCUACAUAUGAAGUUAUAACUCCAGAACAGUAAACUAGUAUCUCAAAACAAAGCUAAUAUUCUAUUUGGCAAAGGGAAUCAUAAUGUGGGAUUAAGACGAACAAUAUUCCGACAUUUUUUUCUCUACAUAUAAUAUCCGGUCAGUCUAAAAUACAUACAUAUAUAUUUAUGUACAUAUUUAUUUCUUAAUGUUCUAGUCUAGUCCAUGAUACAACCAUAGAAAGGUAGAAUCAGUAGGGAGAGUUGUCAAUUCUCUGCCUUGUUAAGUCAAACAAAAAGAACUAUAAAGAGAAAAACUUAAAACUCUUCAAAUGAAAACCACGAAAAAUACCAUAAAAUGAUUCUUGAACGGCACACGCAAACAGCAUUCCACACUUCUGU